UGUACUUUUUGAGCUGAUCGUUAUUUCAGAGGUUUCAAGUAAAACCUAUAAAAAUGUGGUUGCCCCACUACAGUCUCAUUUUUUCAUCAAUCUUCUAUAUUACCAGUGGAAGUGAGUUGGGUGUUGCUACUGAAACUAGGGGGGACUAUACUGUACACAGCC
Long non-coding RNA from Eurytemora carolleeae, 162 nucleotides. RefSeq lists it as uncharacterized. Lineage: Eukaryota; Metazoa; Arthropoda; Copepoda; Calanoida; Temoridae. The record is from RefSeq and is a predicted model, not a curated record. The transcript has 2 exons.